UUCUCAUGAAACCCUCUUUCUUCUCUCUCUUGCCCAUGUCUCUCCAUUUCUCUCACUUCCUAAAUUCGUAAAUUUCUUUUGCUCCCUACCUGUCUGUUCUCUCCACUUGCUGGGUAUCAUUGAUCUCAUCUACUGCUUCACCUAUUAGUUUGCUACUUGCUUUCUGGGAUUUUCAUUUUGAUUCUUGAUAUUCAAUAUUUCAAUUCAGCCACCAACUGGGACUAUAGUGGAGUAACUGUUUCGUUCAUCAUAGCAAUCAGAGAUUGCUCGAUAGUAAGAUUCUGGGCACUUUCAUCGUGGAAUCGAUUUUCUUCCGUCAUCGGCAAGAUCGGGGGCUAAAUCUCAAGCAUCGGCUUGCAGUGGCUCAAGCUUCUUUUGAGUGAGGGAACGAUUGUGGAAGUAAGGGAUCUUCUCCUGAGGUAAUAUUUUUCUGGAGUUGUUGUUUAUUC
Molecule: long non-coding RNA, 449 nt
Organism: Argentina anserina (silverweed cinquefoil)
Lineage: Eukaryota; Viridiplantae; Streptophyta; Magnoliopsida; Rosales; Rosaceae
Exons: 3
Source: RefSeq, a predicted model, not a curated record